RNAcentral lists this ribosomal RNA (871 nucleotides) under Halomonas taeheungii. RNAcentral describes it as "bacterial SSU rRNA". It matches the Rfam family "Bacterial small subunit ribosomal RNA", at positions 56 to 920 of the family's 1533-position model. The record is from RNAcentral. Lineage: Bacteria; Pseudomonadati; Pseudomonadota; Gammaproteobacteria; Oceanospirillales; Halomonadaceae.
UGCAGUUCGAGCGGUAACAGAUCUAGCUUGCUAGAUGCUGACGAGCGGCGGACGGGUGAGUAAUGCAUAGGAAUCUGCCCGGUAGUGGGGGAUAACCUGGGGAAACCCAGGCUAAUACCGCAUACGUCCUACGGGAGAAAGGGGGCUUCGGCUCCCGCUAUUGGAUGAGCCUAUGUCGGAUUAGCUAGUUGGUGAGGUAAUGGCUCACCAAGGCGACGAUCCGUAGCUGGUCUGAGAGGAUGAUCAGCCACAUCGGGACUGAGACACGGCCCGAACUCCUACGGGAGGCAGCAGUGGGGAAUAUUGGACAAUGGGGGGAACCCUGAUCCAGCCAUGCCGCGUGUGUGAAGAAGGCCCUCGGGUUGUAAAGCACUUUCAGCGAGGAAGAACGCCUGGUGGUUAAUACCCAUCAGGAAAGACAUCACUCGCAGAAGAAGCACCGGCUAACUCCGUGCCAGCAGCCGCGGUAAUACGGAGGGUGCAAGCGUUAAUCGGAAUUACUGGGCGUAAAGCGCGCGUAGGUGGCUUGAUAAGCCGGUUGUGAAAGCCCCGGGCUCAACCUGGGAACGGCAUCCGGAACUGUCAAGCUAGAGUACAGGAGAGGAAGGUAGAAUUCCCGGUGUAGCGGUGAAAUGCGUAGAGAUCGGGAGGAAUACCAGUGGCGAAGGCGGCCUUCUGGACUGAUACUGACACUGAGGUGCGAAAGCGUGGGUAGCAAACAGGAUUAGAUACCCUGGUAGUCCACGCCGUAAACGAUGUCGACCAGCCGUUGGGGUGCCUAGCGCACUUUGUGGCGAAGUUAACGCGAUAAGUUCGACCGCCUGGGGAGUACGGCUCGCCAGGUUAAAACUCAAAUGAAUUUGACGGGGGC